GUUUCUCGUGCUUUUGGAGACAAGAGCCUCAAAUCACAUUUGCGAUCUGACCCUGACAUACAAGACACCAUCAUAGAUAGUAAUACAGAUUUCUUAGUCCUUGCAAGUGAUGGCCUUUGGAAGGUGGUGUCAAAUCAAGAAGCUGUUGAUAUCGCAAGAAGGAUUAAAGACCCAUUAAAAGCAGCUAAGCAGUUAAAAACUGAGGCAUUGAAAAGAGACAGUAAAGAUGAUAUAUCUUGUGUGGUUGUUAGAUUUAGGGCGUAAAGCCUACUGAACAGUAUCUGCUCCUGAUGCUGCGUCCUUAUACGAGAG
Molecule: unclassified non-coding RNA, 312 nt
Filed under: Hevea brasiliensis (rubber tree)
Lineage: Eukaryota; Viridiplantae; Streptophyta; Magnoliopsida; Malpighiales; Euphorbiaceae
Source: RNAcentral